Long non-coding RNA from Gastrolobium bilobum, 705 nucleotides. RefSeq lists it as uncharacterized. Lineage: Eukaryota; Viridiplantae; Streptophyta; Magnoliopsida; Fabales; Fabaceae. The record is from RefSeq and is a predicted model, not a curated record. The transcript is spliced from 3 exons.
CUUUCCUAUUUCACCAGAAAAAUUGCCAGUAUCUAUGACUCAACUACUUUUUCAACAUCUAUAACCCCAUUCUUCUCCAAAGUUGUUUACUACCAUAACCAUAAAUUAAUAAGACUCUUUCUCUGAUUUUCUUACCUUCUAUAUAUUUCUCAACCCCAAUAGAACACUUUUUACACCUUUUCUUCAUUCUAUGUUCUCCUCUUCUUUAUGUGAGAUUGAAAAUCCUCUUAGGCCACAACUUUGUUAAGAGAGGGUGAAUUGGUGAAGGUUUUGAAGGAAUUGUCAAGGCUUAUAUAUAUGUCAUGACAACUUGUUGACAGAAGAGAGAGAGCACAACUGAACAUACCCAAAAGACUUUUUGUGUGUGAGCAGUGUUGUACUCUCUGUUCUUCUGUCAACGUACUAGGUUUCUCACAAGCUAGCUAUGUAUAGUCCCUUAACUCCAUGAAAAUGUUCUGUUGAUUUUCUUGAACAUGCAUAUUUCUUAUGGAGUAAACCCUGGGGAAGCCCGUGGCGGGGAGCUACCACCAAUGAGCUAAGGCUACACCAACCGUAGCAAGUGGAUCCGACACCAUGUUUCAACCCAAAACUUAAGGCAUUGGGUUCAUGGGUCCUUUCACUUAUAUACUCUUCACUUAGCUCAUUACCAACCAAUGUGGGACUCAUCACACUUGUAUAUCUCAACAGUUAUAAGUUCAACUCAGU